This 253-nucleotide ribosomal RNA is filed under the name uncultured bacterium. Its description in RNAcentral is "partial 16S ribosomal RNA". It matches the Rfam family "Bacterial small subunit ribosomal RNA", at positions 524 to 776 of the family's 1533-position model. The record is from RNAcentral.
UACGUAGGGACCGAGCGUUGUCCGGAUUCAUUGGGCGUAAAGAGCUCGUAGGCGGCUGCUCAAGUCGAAUGUGAAAACUCGAGGCUCAACCUCGAGCCUGCAUUCGAUACUGGGCGGCUAGAGUCUGGUAGGGGGAUCUGGAAUUCCUGGUGUAGCGGUGGAAUGCGCAGAUAUCAGGAGGAACACCGAUGGCGAAGGCAGCUUGCUGGGACGGUACUGACGCUGAGACGCGAAAGCGUGGGGAGCAAACAGG